GUGAAUCAUCGAAUUUUUGAACGCAAAUUGCACUCUCUGGUAUUCCGGAGAGUAUGCCUGUUUGAGGGUCAGUUUAAGUAAAAAUCGGUGUGGUUGCUGCCUUUCGUGGUGACGCACCGGAUGUGGGUCGUCUUGCCUUCGGUUAAGUGACCUAAAAUUUUGCAUUGAUUUCUGGACGUAUUUAAAUUUAUUUUGUACGUGUUUGUGAUAUCGAAUGCUUAUUACGUGUGGUCAUCUUCAUCGCGCACGUCU
Molecule: unclassified non-coding RNA, 252 nt
Filed under: Glomeraceae sp.
Lineage: Eukaryota; Fungi; Glomeromycota; Glomeromycetes; Glomerales; Glomeraceae
Description: partial contains 5.8S ribosomal RNA and internal transcribed spacer 2
Rfam family: 5.8S ribosomal RNA (bases 1-71)
Source: RNAcentral